AGGACGAACGCUGGCGGCGUGCUUAACACAUGCAAGUCGAGCGGUGAUCCUCCUUCGGGAGGUGAUCAGCGGCGAACGGGUGAGUAACACGUGGGCAACCUGCCCCUCACACUGGGAUAACCUCGGGAAACCGGGGCUAAUACCGGAUACGACCUCGAGCGGCAUCUCUUGAGGUGGAAAGCUCCGACGGUGAGGGAUGGGCCCGCGGCCUAUCAGCUUGUUGGUGGGGUAAUGGCCUACCAAGGCGACGACGGGUAGCCGGCCUGAGAGGGCGACCGGGCCACGACUGGGACUGAGACACGGCCCAGACUCCUACGGGAGGCAGCAGUGGGGAAUAUUGCGCAAUGGGCGAAAGCCUGACGCAGCGACGCCGCGUGAGGGAUGAAGGCCUUCGGGUUGUAAACCUCUUUCAGCAGGGACGAAGCGAAAGUGACGGUACCUGCAGAAGAAGCACCGGCUAACUACGUGCCAGCAGCCGC
This 479-nucleotide ribosomal RNA is filed under the name uncultured bacterium. Its description in RNAcentral is "SSU rRNA". It matches the Rfam family "Bacterial small subunit ribosomal RNA", at positions 26 to 518 of the family's 1533-position model. The record is from RNAcentral.